UGGGGAAUAUUGCACAAUGGGCGCAAGCCUGAUGCAGCCAUGCCGCGUGUGUGAAGAAGGCCUUCGGGUUGUAAAGCACUUUCAGCGGGGAGGAAGGCGAUAAGGUUAAUAACCUUGUCGAUUGACGUUACCCGCAGAAGAAGCACCGGCUAACUCCGUGCCAGCAGCCGCGGUAAUACGGAGGGUGCAAGCGUUAAUCGGAAUUACUGGGCGUAAAGCGCACGCAGGCGGUUUGUUAAGUCAGAUGUGAAAUCCCCGGGCUCAACCUGGGAACUGCAUCUGAUACUGGCAAGCAUGAGUCUCGUAGAGGGGGGUAGAAUUCCAGGUGUAGCGGUGAAAUGCGUAGAGAUCUGGAGGAAUACCGGUGGCGAAGGCGGCCCCCUGGACGAAGACUGACGCUCAGGUGCGAAAGCGUGGGGAGCAAACAGG
RNAcentral lists this ribosomal RNA (429 nucleotides) under Chloroflexota bacterium. Its description in RNAcentral is "Chloroflexi bacterium partial 16S ribosomal RNA". It matches the Rfam family "Bacterial small subunit ribosomal RNA", at positions 355 to 776 of the family's 1533-position model. Lineage: Bacteria; Bacillati; Chloroflexota. The record is from RNAcentral.